Long non-coding RNA from Cryptomeria japonica (Japanese cedar), 694 nucleotides. RefSeq lists it as uncharacterized. The transcript is spliced from 4 exons. Lineage: Eukaryota; Viridiplantae; Streptophyta; Pinopsida; Cupressales; Cupressaceae. The record is from RefSeq and is a predicted model, not a curated record.
GAAAAUCUAAGCACAUUCAUCUCAACCACAAGGAGGAAAAACUACUCACAAUCAAACAAUAUUGUAUGAACAACAUCCAAUUUCAAUUAGGUGAAGCACCAUUUGUAGGCAGACUCGUCUGGAGCAUGCAAACAAAUUUCAACUCGCAACAAAUAUUUUUGUUUAAGAGCCAGCAAAAAUGUUGCGUGGAAGUCAAGAAUCUGGGAUUUGCAACCAUGAAGCACAGAUCCUUGGCCUGAAGGAAAGACUUGGACUUGAAAGAGUUGAAAUCCAUACCAGAAGGAAAGUAAGCCUUCACCACCGCAAAGCUAUACCAGUCUCUCGCAUAGAAAAUGCUCUGAGAGAUCUGGGCUUGCAGUUGGAGCCCCACUCCUAUACAAUAUAUGAGUAAAAGCUAAAGCCACAGACUCUGGAACGGCUAUCUGAUGUUGAAUACAGAGGAUAGUUGAUAUUGAUGUCUACUUCUUGUCCAGUGAACUGUUCUUAUAUAGAUUAGAGAUUCCAAAAGACUUCAAAUAGUAUUUAUAGUAAAUAUCUUGGUAGCAUUAGGUGCAGUUGUUAAAGUGUUCUUCAAAAACUCUAAUAUAGUUAAAAAAUAUCUUUUCUUCAGUACACCUUUUUUAGCCAAUAUAUUUUAUGAUAUAUUAGUUAUUAUUUUGUUCUCAAUGGAAAAGUCUAUUGUCAAACGAUUAAA